Molecule: ribosomal RNA, 495 nt
Filed under: uncultured bacterium
Lineage: Bacteria
Description: partial 16S ribosomal RNA
Rfam family: Bacterial small subunit ribosomal RNA
Source: RNAcentral
GACGAACGCUGGCGGCGUGCCUAAUACAUGCAAGUAGAACGCUGAAGGAGGAGCUUGCUUCUCUGGAUGAGUUGCGAACGGGUGAGUAACGCGUAGGUAACCUGCCUGGUAGCGGGGGAUAACUAUUGGAAACGAUAGCUAAUACCGCGUAAUAGUAGAUGUUGCAUGACAUUUGCUUAAGAGGUGCAAUUGCAUCACUACCAGAUGGACCUGCGUUGUAUUAGCUAGUUGGUGGGGUAACGGCUCACCAAGGCGACGAUACAUAGCCGACCGGAGAGGGGGAGCGGCCACACUGGGACUGAGACACGGCCCAGACGCCUACGGGAGGCAGCAGUAGGGAAUCUGCGGCAAGGGAUGGAAGUCUGAGCGAGAAACGCCGAGGGAGUGAAGAAGGUUUUCGGAUCGUAAAGCUCGGUUGUAAGAGAAGAACGAGUGUGAGAGUGGAAAGUUCACAAUGUGACGGUAUCUGACCAGAAAGCGACGGCUAACUACGUG